Non-coding RNA from Pogona vitticeps (central bearded dragon), 346 nucleotides. Lineage: Eukaryota; Metazoa; Chordata; Lepidosauria; Squamata; Agamidae. The record is from RefSeq and is a predicted model, not a curated record.
CUUUUCUAGGCAGUUGUUCAAGGCUUUGACAGUCUCCUUCCCCAGAGAAGAAAAGGACAACGUGUUUGAUAAAAUCUACAUACUGGCAACACCGUAUCUCUAAAUCCUUAUUCUCAACAUCAGCCACAUAUGUGGAUUAUCCAUAUCAUCCAGAGGCGACUACAAAUGGAAGAAACAUCUCAUUAUGCUUACCAGGGCCAGAAGCGUCCUCUUCCACAAGGUGAUGCGAGGGACCAGAAGGCAGGCGUCCUGCUGGAGCUGAGCCAGGCUGUCUCCGCUGAGGACCGGGAUACCCGGGAUACCCGUUGAACCUCUUUGCAAAAACCAUAAAAGUAUUUUUCAAGAA